RNAcentral lists this long non-coding RNA (1303 nucleotides) under Salmo salar (Atlantic salmon). RNAcentral's name for it is "lncRNA (ENSSSAG00000102641.1)". Lineage: Eukaryota; Metazoa; Chordata; Actinopteri; Salmoniformes; Salmonidae. The record is from RNAcentral.
GGAGGAGAGAGAUGGGAGGGGAGAGUUAGAGGAGAGAGAUGCUGGAGAGAGAUUGCUGGAGAGAGCUGGCAGAAGAAAGCUGGCAGGAGAGAGAUGGCAGGAGAGAGAUGGUAGGAGAGAGAUGGCAGGAGAGAGAUGCAGGAGAGACAUUGCUGGAGAGAGCUGAAAGAGAUGGAGGAGAGAGAUGGCAGCAGAGAGAUGACAGGAGAGAGAUGGCAGCAGAGAGCUGCAGGAGAGAGUUGGGAGGAGAGAGAUGGCAGGAGAGAGAUGGGAGGAUAAAGAUGGCAGGAGUGAGACGGAGGAGAGAGAUGCAGGAGAGACAUUGCUGGAGAGAGUUGAAGGAUAGAGAUGGCAGGAGAGAGAUGGCAGGAGAGAGAUGGCAGGAGAGAGAUGGCAGGAGAGAGAUGGAGGAGUGAGAUGGAGGAGUGAGAUGGAGGAGUGAGAUGGAGGAGAAAGAUGGGAGGAGAGAGUUAGAGGAGAGAGAUGCUGGAGAGAGAUGCAGGAGAGACAUUGCUGGAGAGAGCUGAAGGAGAAAGAUGGAGGAGAGAGCUGAAGGAGAGAGAUGGCAGGAGUGAGACGGAAGAGAGAGAUGGAGAGAGAUGACAGGAGAGAGAUGGAAGGAGAGAGAUGCAGGAGAGAGGUAAAGGAGAGAGGUAAAGGAGAGAGGUAAAGGAGAGAGCUGAAGGAGAGAGAUGGCAGGAGAGAGAUGGCGGGAGAGUAAUGGAGGAGAGAGAUGGAAGAGAGAGAUGGGAGGAUGGUGAUGGGAGGAGAGAGAUGGGAGGAGAGAGAUGGCAGGAGAGCGAUGAAGGAGAGAGCUGAAGGAGAGAGAUCGCAGGAGAGAGAUGAAGGAGAGAGGUAAAGGAGAGAGAUGGAGGAGAGAGAUGCUGGAGAGAGCUGAAGGAGAGAGCUGAAGGAGAGAGCUGGCAGGAGAGAGCUGAAGGAGAGAGAUGGCAGGAGAGCAAUGGAGGAGAGAGAUGGCAGGAGAGAGAUGGAAGAGAGAGAUGGGAGGAUAGUGAUGGGAGGAGAGAGAUGGCAGGAGAGAGAUGGAGGAGAGAGAUGCUGAAGGAGAGAGCUGAAGGAGAGAGAUGGCAGGAGAGAGAUGGCAGGAGAGAGAUGGAAGAGAGAGAUGGGAGGAUAGUGAUGGCAGGAGCGAGAUGAAGGAGAGAGAUGGAGGAGAGAGAUACUGGAGAGAGCUGAGGAAGAGAGCUGAAGGAGAGAGCUGAAAGAGAGAGGUGGAGGAGAGAGGGCAGGAGAGCAAUGGAGGAGAGAGACGAAGGAGAGAGAUGGAGGAGAGAGAUGCAGG